Molecule: microRNA precursor, 57 nt
Filed under: Sorex araneus (European shrew)
Lineage: Eukaryota; Metazoa; Chordata; Mammalia; Eulipotyphla; Soricidae
Description: miRNA (ENSSARG00000017215.1)
Source: RNAcentral
GUGUGUGUGUGUGUGUGUGUGUGUGUGUGUGCGCGCGCAUGUGCACACACAUGCACA